AGUAACAGGGGUACUGUAAACCUAAAAUUUUUGGCGGUUUCUUAGCUGGUUAGAGGAACUUGUUUUGUAAUUGAUGAUCCUCAAUAGAUUUUACUUUUUUCUUAAAUACCGCCGUCGACGACAGGUCAAGGUUUAGUUAAUGGGAAAGAAAGAAGGUGGAUUUAAAAGUUGAUGGUGGAAAGCUGGGCUCUGAGAAAUGU
This 200-nucleotide ribosomal RNA is filed under the name Charinus vulgaris. RNAcentral's name for it is "partial small subunit ribosomal RNA". Lineage: Eukaryota; Metazoa; Arthropoda; Arachnida; Amblypygi; Charinidae. The record is from RNAcentral.